UACAGGGGGUGCAAACGUUGCUCGGAAUUAUUGGGCGUAAAGCGCGCGUAGGCGGCCACUUAAGUCGGAUGUGAAAGCCCCUGGCUCAACUGGGGAAGUGCACCCGAAACUGAAUGGCUUGAGUGCGAAAGAGGGUCGCGGAAUUCCCGGUGUAGAGGUGAAAUUCGUAGAUAUCGGGAGGAACACCGGUGGCGAAGGCGGCGACCUGGGUCGACACUGACGCUGAGGCGCGAAAGCGUGGGUAGCGAACGGG
Molecule: ribosomal RNA, 253 nt
Filed under: uncultured bacterium
Lineage: Bacteria
Description: partial 16S ribosomal RNA
Rfam family: Bacterial small subunit ribosomal RNA
Source: RNAcentral